UCUUGGUCUUAAAUUGAAUAUAUCUACCAGAGUACUAUGAAUAAAACAAAAUUUAAAACUCAAAGAGCUUGGCGGUGUUUUAGACCACUCAGGGGAACCUGUCUCAUAAUCGAUAAUCCACGAUAUACCUGACCUUUUUUUGUAAAACAACUUGUAUACCGUUGUCGUCAGGUAACUUUUUAGAAAUCAGAAGUUAGCUAUAAGCUUUUAAGCUUAAACGUCAAAUCAAGGUGCAGUCUAUAAAAAGGAGAGGAUGGGUUACAAUUAUAAAUUUAUAAUAACGGAAAACUAUUAAAAUUAAUAGAUGGAAGGAGGACUUGAAAGUAAAUUGAACUAUAAAAAUAUUUUGAAUGAGGCUCUGAAACGUGC
This 369-nucleotide ribosomal RNA is filed under the name Tiariturris spectabilis. RNAcentral's name for it is "SSU rRNA". The record is from RNAcentral. Lineage: Eukaryota; Metazoa; Mollusca; Gastropoda; Neogastropoda; Pseudomelatomidae.